Molecule: unclassified non-coding RNA, 306 nt
Filed under: uncultured fungus
Lineage: Eukaryota; Fungi
Description: partial contains small subunit ribosomal RNA, internal transcribed spacer 1, and 5.8S ribosomal RNA
Rfam family: Eukaryotic small subunit ribosomal RNA (bases 1-73)
Source: RNAcentral
GCAAACUUGGUCAUUUAGAGGAAGUAAAAGUCGUAACAAGGUUUCCGUAGGUGAACCUGCGGAAGGAUCAUUACAGAUAUAUAUUAUUAUUAUCUUUCCAAACAACACCCACUUUACUGUGAACCUUUUGGUUGUGAAGUAAAUAGGGCAUACCUAUUUAAGCUAGAAGCUUUUAAUGCUUUGCAAUCCAAAUUUUUUCCUAUUAUACACCAAAAACCUAUAAUGAAUGGAUAAUGGUAUACUUAUACUAUAUACAUAACUUUCAGCAACGGAUCUCUUGGCUCUCGCAUCGAUGAAGAACGCAGC